CGCAGCUCUGUCCAGACCUUCUGGCUUCUGUGGUGGGAAAUGGUCCCACUGCAUCCAUAAAUGACCAGGGACAGGUGGACCCUGAGGACAUCAGGCUGCUGUCAGGAAGGGACCUGGUUGCUGAAUAGCCUCGGGUGACAAAGGGACGUUUCAGACACCUGGACAUGAUCUGACUGAGCUGUCUCUGGGACAUGCAUCCUGGCAGGGUGUGUGUGUGCGUGUGUGUGUGUGUGCAUGCAUGCAUGUGUGUGUGCAUGAGUGUGUGUGCAUGCAUGCAUGUGUGUGUUCAUAUGUGUGCAUGUGUGUGUGUGUGCACAUGAGUGUCAUUUAAAAAGCUGUGGCAGAUCUGAGUUGACGCAUUAGCCCUUUCUCACCCAGCCCCUUCCCAACCAAAGGGAUGACAGCGGAGGGUGCAGUCUGGCAGGUUUGUCCACUUGGGUUUUCAGGUCAUGACCUGGUUCACAGACUACUCUCUAGUCUAAUAAACUGACCAGUGGCCGGUUCCACACUCUGCCGUUGUGACCCCGUGACAAUGUCACCUAUAUUCGAGAUCCUUCCAAGAUCUUCCCCGAGCUGCAUGUGGCUGUGCUGAUGGACACGGAAUUUCGUAGUGAUUUCUUCUGGAGACUCGGAUCAUUGUUGAUGCUGCUUCUCCAGGGAGACAGGCUUGCGAGGGUGAUAUGUUCCUCCUGUGUAAGUGACGUAUGUGGACAUGGUGGGCCUUGUGUUCAUGUCAGAGGAACGUCUUGUUCAGGGUCACUCAGCUGCCAAGGGGACUGUCCGGGUUCCACUUCAGAUCUGCCCUCUAGAGCCUGGCUCCUUCUUGGGACAACCACCUCCUCUGCCACCUGUGACGGCACCACCCAGGACACCAGGUCAAGGUCUGGGGUGGCCACCACAGUAAUUCAGGCUUCCAGAGAUGAGCCUCCACCCACGGCCCUGCCAGGGCUUCUAGGGUCCGUUCUCCAGCCGAGGACUGGCAGGUAUCCACACAUGCGGAGGGCCAGCAGCUCGGAAACAGGGUCUCCACGCUCCCUGGAACAUGGUGAGUUAGCUGCCUGGGAGCUCUGGUCGCAUAGGAACAAUGCCGAGGCUUUAAACUGGGAAAAAACUGAGAUCUCGACCAGCCCCUCAGGUAAACCCCCCGAAGUCGGAAGUGGGCACCGGCUGCACCAGCAGUAACAGUGUGACGGGAAGCAAGGUCGCGUCCAGGGACGUCCUUGGAUGUUUCCUCCAUUUAAAAUGACUUUCAUCUUACAGAAAGUGGAAUGUUCUGUAUUAUUGCAUCAUAGUAGAAUACGAAGCACCAUCACUCCCUUGGCUUAAUGACACUGGCACUGAUAUUUUGGAAAUAAUGAUUUUUCCUAGUUUAGAAUGUAAAAGGUAUUAUUAUAGAAACGUCGUUCACAAGCUCCUCACUCAGAGGGUGCCUGUGAUAACAAUUGAGUAUCUUCACAUGAAGUUGGAAGGACGUUGUAUGUGUUUACCCGGCUUUCCACUCAACGUGCAGCGUGCACACGGUCCUGUCACAGAAGUCCUGAGGAGAUGAGAGAUGGUACCCGUCCUGGGCAUGAGUCCUGGUUUCCGCUCUGUGGUAUCCUUGAAGACCGAGAGCCUCACCAUCACAGUAUCCACAGGACACUGCAGCCAGCAGCCCUGGAGGGGCAGAACGGGUUUGGAGCUUCCCAGCAGCCCCAUGCCUAGAGUCUCGUCUUCAUGCCACCUGGCCCAGAGUCUGCCGGCUGUGAGCAGCCUCCUCCUGGGGCAACAAUCGAAGAAAGUCAGCGGCAAUUGUUCAACAUCACAGCCACCUGAGGUGACAAGAGCUCAAUAAGAAGCCGACCCAAACAAGAAUCUGACCCCAAAUUUAAAAUCUGGGAAUACAGAGGUCCACGGAGGACUUUGGGAAAGCUCCUAGAUGUCCUGGAAUCUAGAAGACCACCCAAAAUAUAGGACUGUGAACAUGCCAGGGGCUGUGCCCACACCCAAGAGAGACCUGAGAAGUCCUGGUCUUUUAACCUCUGACUGACCUUGAG
This is a long non-coding RNA of Equus caballus (horse), 2036 nucleotides long. Lineage: Eukaryota; Metazoa; Chordata; Mammalia; Perissodactyla; Equidae. The record is from Ensembl.